Molecule: long non-coding RNA, 288 nt
Organism: Poecilia latipinna (sailfin molly)
Lineage: Eukaryota; Metazoa; Chordata; Actinopteri; Cyprinodontiformes; Poeciliidae
Exons: 2
Source: RefSeq, a predicted model, not a curated record
CAGCCGCCAUAAAGCACCAGAAGAAGAAAUAAAACCCAAUGUUGCAUGUUGGGUCUCUUUAUUUGUCGCCGAAUAAAUUGUGCGUCUGAAAUUUUGAGCUGAGCGCGUAGACGCUGGAAAGAAGAGAAAUGACGGUGGUGGCGGACGUUAUUUUCUCCAUCAGUCAAACACCUGAGAAGGACGAUGCUGUUCUCCUUCGGUGCUCCAGAGCCUUCGUGGGGGACAGAGAGCUGUAUCGCUCUGAUAACAGACUCCUUUCAUCUGGCAGAGAAGUCACUGAAGUGCAAG